GUAAUUGUAGCUCAAUAGGUAGAGUGACUAUUUGUGGCAUAGUUGGUUCCCGGUUCGAUUCCGGGCAUUUACCC
RNAcentral lists this transfer RNA (74 nucleotides) under Zarea fungicola. RNAcentral describes it as "Lecanicillium fungicola transfer RNA-His". It matches the Rfam family "tRNA". From Rfam's summary of the family: Transfer RNA (tRNA) molecules are approximately 80 nucleotides in length. Their secondary structure includes four short double-helical elements and three loops (D, anti-codon, and T loops). The record is from RNAcentral. Lineage: Eukaryota; Fungi; Ascomycota; Sordariomycetes; Hypocreales; Cordycipitaceae.